This 418-nucleotide RNase P RNA is filed under the name Candidatus Moraniibacteriota bacterium. Its description in RNAcentral is "Candidatus Moranbacteria bacterium RNase P RNA component class A". It matches the Rfam family "Bacterial RNase P class A". From Rfam's summary of the family: Ribonuclease P (RNase P) is a ubiquitous endoribonuclease, found in archaea, bacteria and eukarya as well as chloroplasts and mitochondria. Its best characterised activity is the generation of mature 5'-ends of tRNAs by cleaving the 5'-leader elements of precursor-tRNAs. The record is from RNAcentral. Lineage: Bacteria; Candidatus Moraniibacteriota.
AAAACAGAUCAGACUACCGCGCUACGGCGAGGAAAGUCCGGACACUUAGCCCUCUUCGAGAGGGUCAGGGUAAUGGGUAAUUCCCAUACGUUGUGAAACGCGAGGUGCGAGCAGAGACGCCUUUCUCUGAAAGGAGAAGGUAUCCAGCAAUGGAUAAGUCUUCGUAUAAACUUGGAAUGCUUCUGGCGCAAGUCGGGAGUUUACUCUGAGCGAAGUCGAAGAGUGAAACGGCUAAAUCCUUACUCGAGUGCAAGGUCGUGUCCUUCGCACCGCACGGUGUCUACUCUUUGGAGUGGGUAUGGUGCGGUGUGAGGGAAGAACCGCAAAGAUCCCUGGAGUAAUCCAGGGGCAAGAGAAAUGGUAGUCACCCUACGAGUAAUCGUGGGGACAGAAUCCGGCUUAUCGAUCUGUUUUGUAC